GGAAGCAUAGCUUAGUGGUACAGCUCACGAUUUAAAUUGUAAAGUUUGGUGGACCAUUUAGUUGGAAAGCGCGGGUAGAGACAUUAAGUUUGUGGAUCGCUGGUUCAAAUCCAGCUGCUUCUA
This is a transfer RNA of 123 nucleotides. It matches the Rfam family "tRNA". Rfam says of the family: Transfer RNA (tRNA) molecules are approximately 80 nucleotides in length. The record is from Rfam.